GCGGCGGACGGGUGAGUAACGCGUGGGUAACCUGCCCUAAAGCCCGGGAUAACAGCGGGAAACCGCUGUUAAUACCGGAUACCUUUACCCUGGGGCAUCCUGGGGUAAAGAAAGAAUUUCGCUUUAGGAUGGGCCCGCGUCCCAUUAGCUAGUUGGUGAGGUAACGGCUCACCAAGGCGACGAUGGGUAGCCGGCCUGAGAGGGUGAACGGCCACACUGGGACUGAGACACGGCCCAGACUCCUACGGGAGGCAGCAGUAGGGAAUAUUGCGCAAUGGGCGAAAGCCUGACGCAGCGACGCCGCGUGAGCGAAGAAGGCCUUCGGGUCGUAAAGCUCUGUCCUCAGGGAAGAAGGAAGUGACGGUACCUGAGGAGGAAGCCCCGGCUAACUACGUGCCAGCAGCCGCGGUAAUACGUAGGGGGCGAGCGUUGUCCGGAAUUACUGGGCGUAAAGGGUGCGUAGGCGGCCUCUUAAGUCAGAUGUGAAAGACCACG
This 495-nucleotide ribosomal RNA is filed under the name uncultured bacterium. RNAcentral describes it as "bacterial SSU rRNA". It matches the Rfam family "Bacterial small subunit ribosomal RNA", at positions 95 to 606 of the family's 1533-position model. The record is from RNAcentral.